CUGUUUUAUUUAAGGGGCCCAAUGGAACAACAUAUGUACAAAAUAUUGUUUUUACAUUGUAUACAAACAUAAAAUGGCAAUAUUUCCAAACUGUAGCUAGAACAAAGUUGAUGGGUGAGAUAUUAUUUUGUAAAUAUUUUUUACACCUCAUAGUCAUUCAAAUAGGUACAUGUCCUUUUUGAUUCGAUUCAAGCUCUUAUAUAACAAAUGAUGACCUAGUGUA
RNAcentral lists this long non-coding RNA (223 nucleotides) under Pan troglodytes (chimpanzee). RNAcentral's name for it is "long non-coding RNA NONPTRT016580". Lineage: Eukaryota; Metazoa; Chordata; Mammalia; Primates; Hominidae. The record is from RNAcentral.